This 444-nucleotide long non-coding RNA is filed under the name Marmota monax (woodchuck). Lineage: Eukaryota; Metazoa; Chordata; Mammalia; Rodentia; Sciuridae. The record is from RNAcentral.
GGGCUUUGAGAUAUAAUGUGAGGUCAUUUAUUUGUUGGCUCUUUCUAUUAAGUUCUUUCUAUUAAGGAAUGAACUCCAUGCAAUGGAUUUUCCUCUUAGUGCUGCUGUCAUAGUGUCCCAGAGAUUUCGAUAUGUUGUGUCUGUAUUUUCAUUUAUAAGAAUAUUUUAAUCUUCUCCUUGAUGUCUUCUGUAACCCAUUGUUCAUUCUGUAGCAUUUUUUUAUCCUUAUUUAUUUCCAAUUUCAUUCCAUUAUGAUAUGAUAAAAUGCAUGGUAGUAUCUCUACUUCUUUGUAUUUGCUAAGAGUUGCCCUAUGGCAUAAUAUAUGGUCUAUUUUUGAGAAGAAUCCAUGUGCUGCUGAGAAAAUGUAUCCACUUGAUGUUGGUUGAUAGUCUAUAGAUGUCAAUUAAGUUAUUGAUUGUGUUAUUGAGUUCUAUAGUUUCUUC